This is a non-coding RNA of Podarcis lilfordi (Lilford's wall lizard), 76 nucleotides long. The record is from the annotation of a GenBank genome assembly. NCBI's taxonomy places the organism in Eukaryota, Metazoa, Chordata, Lepidosauria, Squamata, Lacertidae.
ACCUAGAAGAAUUAGCUCAAGCAGUAGAGCAUCAGACUCGAUCUCAGGGCCAUGGGUUCAAGCCCCACAUUGGGCA